GAACUCCAAAUAUAACUGCUUGACUUAAUCCUUUGACCAUAAUAAAUGGUGUAUUAAUACAUUGGUGGUUAUUACGAACAAAAGCAUUAGAUAAUUUAUAAUUGAUAAAGAGUCUACUACCAUCUGCUGUAUUUAAGAUUUGAGUUGUCUCAUCAAAAUAUUUUGAAGGUACUAAACCUUCAUUGAUGCAAUUAAGGUCAGCCCCUGAAUCUAUUAAGGCUGAGGUUUGAAAACUAUAAUCUUUUGCUACAAUUAUAAUGACUUGAACAAACCAUUUUUGAAUCAUAAUUUUAUCUAUCAGAUUAACAGAGGGAAUUGUUACCAGAUGAAGUUUGGCUUCUGAAGUUUCUUGUGUUUCUCCUGGUGGAUCAGGGUCAUAUGUAAUAAGCUGAUCGAAUUCUAGUUCAUCUGUAUCUGAUUCUAAUCGAGAUAGAUUUUGUAAUUCUAAAGUCUUGAUUCUAUUUUUUAAUUGAUAUAAUUCUUUUUGUACUUCUUUAAUUUAUUGUUUUAAGUCGGAAAUAGAAGGUUCUUUUUGGUAAGAAGUAUAUUGUUCACUUACUCUUUUCAUAAUAGAAGCAAAGUUGUAUUCAUCAGGUAUUUUACUAAUUGGAGGUGUUUUUGCUUUUGUUUUUGUUAAUGUAAUAAAUUUAGUGAUUACAGAUCUUUUUUCUUCUGGAUCUGUAAUUUUC
Molecule: long non-coding RNA, 689 nt
Filed under: Amborella trichopoda
Lineage: Eukaryota; Viridiplantae; Streptophyta; Magnoliopsida; Amborellales; Amborellaceae
Description: long non-coding RNA (ATRI_LNC005088)
Source: RNAcentral